Molecule: transfer RNA, 76 nt
Filed under: Brevundimonas sp.
Lineage: Bacteria; Pseudomonadati; Pseudomonadota; Alphaproteobacteria; Caulobacterales; Caulobacteraceae
Also listed under: 1 other name
Description: tRNA-Thr
Rfam family: tRNA
About the family: Transfer RNA (tRNA) molecules are approximately 80 nucleotides in length. Their secondary structure includes four short double-helical elements and three loops (D, anti-codon, and T loops). Further hydrogen bonds mediate the characteristic L-shaped molecular structure. tRNAs have two regions of fundamental functional importance: the anti-codon, which is responsible for specific mRNA codon recognition, and the 3' end, to which the tRNAs corresponding amino acid is attached (by aminoacyl-tRNA synthetases). tRNAs cope with the degeneracy of the genetic code in two manners: having more than one tRNA (with a specific anti-codon) for a particular amino acid; and 'wobble' base-pairing, i.e. permitting non-standard base-pairing at the 3rd anti-codon position.
Source: RNAcentral
GCCGGUUUAGCUCAGCUGGUAGAGCAGCGGUUUUGUAAACCGAAGGUCGCGGGUUCGAGCCCUGCAACCGGCACCA